UGCUCUCUGUUUCCCUCUUUGCAAAAUGAAGAAAGCAAACCAAGGCUAUGUGCUUACAGGAAAACAAGGCAAUGGGAUGCUGGGAUGCAACUUCUAGAUUAGAAACCCAUUCAUUUGGAGCAUCCCUUUGUGGCAUCUGGAUCUCAUCUCACUUAAGAUCAUAGCAGGGACCAUCAUCCCUGGAACCCGUUUGAUUUUUAUCAGAAGUUUCCAACAUCCUGAAGCAGACAGAAUUUGUUUCAAGGACUCCUCUAAGACCUCCAUCUGAGUUCCUGUUGGUGGGCUUUGAACCCAGUAAAUAAUCAAGCCCUCUGCACUUGACCUACUUCCUCUGCAUGCUUUUCAAGGUUACUACCUAUGAUUGAGAUCCCUUCCAACUCCACGUUUCGACUCCCACUAUGCAAGUGACCUUUUAACAUAUUCUAGCAACUCUUCCAAAGCAGAAACAUGUUCACCACAUACAAAAGCAGUACAAUGUGUGUAGACAUUUGCUAAACCAUGAAUUUGUUUACACAAAAGGUUCAAAAGAACUUUGGAAUGUAGAUGCAUGGAAAGCCUGGGCUUCCGCUAAUGGGACCUCCUAAGGUGAAUCCCAGGAAGUUCUGCCUCCCUAUCAUUCACCAUGAAGGACAGCAGACACUACUUCUACUUUCUUUCUAUGUUUUUUGUUGUUGUUGUCGUCUCCUUCUCUGGCUUGUUUCUGCUGCCACAAAUCUUGGACCAUUCUUCUUAUUCUGUAAUCCCAGAAAUGACCUUUUGUAAAAGAAACAUCCCCCCUUUGCACAAUAAAAUAUAAAUAAAUUGGAAGUUAAAGG
Pipistrellus kuhlii (Kuhl's pipistrelle) is the source of this 815-nucleotide long non-coding RNA. RefSeq lists it as uncharacterized. The transcript has 2 exons. Lineage: Eukaryota; Metazoa; Chordata; Mammalia; Chiroptera; Vespertilionidae. The record is from RefSeq and is a predicted model, not a curated record.